This 619-nucleotide ribosomal RNA is filed under the name uncultured bacterium. Its description in RNAcentral is "bacterial SSU rRNA". It matches the Rfam family "Bacterial small subunit ribosomal RNA", at positions 9 to 628 of the family's 1533-position model. The record is from RNAcentral.
GAGUUUGAUCCUGGCUCAGGACGAACGCUGGCGGCGUGCCUAACACAUGCAAGUCGAGCGAUGAAAAAGAAGUAGAUCUCUUCGGAGUGACGCCUCUUUGGAUUAGCGGCGGACGGGUGAGUAACACGUGAGCAACCUGCCGUACACAUUGGGAUAGCCUCGGGAAACUGGGAUUAAUACCAAACGAAACAUAUUGAUAGCAUUAUCAAAAUGUCAAAGAUUUAUCGGUGUACGAUGGGCUCGCGUCUGAUUAGCUAGUUGGUGAGAUAAAAGCUCACCAAGGCAAUGAUCAGUAGCCGGCCUGAGAGGGUGAUCGGCCACAUUGGGACUGAGACACGGCCCAAACUCCUACGGGAGGCAGCAGUGGGGAAUAUUGCACAAUGGAGGGAACUCUGAUGCAGCGACGCCGCGUGAGCGAAGAAGGAAUUCGUUUCGUAAAGCUCUGUCCUAUGGGAAGAUAAUGACGGUACCAUAGAAGAAAGCCCCGGCUAACUACGUGCCAGCAGCCGCGGUAAUACGUAGGGGGCGAGCGUUGUCCGGAAUUAUUGGGCGUAAAGGGUUCGUAGGCGGUAAUACAUGUCAGUUGUGAAAUCUUGUGGCUUAAACACAUCAAGCAUCU